This 623-nucleotide ribosomal RNA is filed under the name uncultured archaeon. RNAcentral describes it as "bacterial SSU rRNA". It matches the Rfam family "Archaeal small subunit ribosomal RNA", at positions 146 to 774 of the family's 1478-position model. The record is from RNAcentral.
GUAAUACUCCAUAGUUCGUUAUUACUGGAAUGUUUUUCGAACGAAAGAUCCGUCGCUUCAGGAUGAGUCUGCGGCCGAUUAGGUAGUUGUUGGGGUAAUUGCCCAACAAGCCUGUAAUCGGUACGGGUUGUGGGAGCAAGAGCCCGGAGAUGGAUUCUGAGACACGAAUCCAGGCCCUACGGGGCGCAGCAGGCGCGAAAACUUUACCAUGCGGGCAACCGUGAUAAGGAAACCCCGAGUGCCAGCACAGGCUGGCUGUCCGCCAGUUUAAACAACUGGCGAAGAAAGGGCCGGGCAAGACCGGUGCCAGCCGCCGCGGUAAUACCGGCGGCUCGAGUGGUGGCCGCUAUUACUGGGCUUAAAGGGUCCGUAGCUUGAUAAAUAGGGUCCCUUGAGAAAUCCGCCGGCUUAACUGGCGGGCGUUCAGGGGAAACUUGUUUUCUAGGGACCGGGAGAGGUGAGGGGUACUGCCGGGGUAGGAGUGAAAUCCUGUAAUCCCGGUGGGACCACCUAUGGCGAAGGCAUCUCACCAGAACGGGUCCGACAGUGAGGGACGAAAGCUGGGGGAGCAAACCGGAUUAGAUACCCGGGUAGUCCCAGCUGUAACUAUGUGCGUUAGGUGU